ACAGUAUAUAAGAGUUUGAUCCUGGCUCAGAUUGAACGCUGGCGGCAUGCCUUACACAUGCAAGUCGAACGGCAGCGCGGGAGCAAUCCUGGCGGCGAGUGGCGAACGGGUGAGUAAUAUAUCGGAACAUGCCCUAGAGUGGGGGAUAACGUAGCGAAAGUUACGCUAAUACCGCAUACGAUCUAAGGAUGAAAGUGGGGGAUCGCAAGACCUCAUGCUCGUGGAGCGGCCGAUAUCUGAUUAGCUAGUUGGUAGGGUAAAAGCCUACCAAGGCAACGAUCAGUAGCUGGUCUGAGAGGACGACCAGCCACACUGGGACUGAGACACGGCCCAGACUCCUACGGGAGGCAGCAGUGGGGAAUUUUGGACAAUGGGGGCAACCCUGAUCCAGCAAUGCCGCGUGUGUGAAGAAGGCCUCGGGUUGUAAAGCACUUUUGGCGGGAACGAAACGGUGAGGGCUAAUAUCCUUUGCUAAUGACGGUACCCGCAGAAUAAGCACCGGCUAACUACGUGCCAGCAGCCGCGGUAAU
This 530-nucleotide ribosomal RNA is filed under the name uncultured Oxalobacteraceae bacterium. Its description in RNAcentral is "bacterial SSU rRNA". It matches the Rfam family "Bacterial small subunit ribosomal RNA", at positions 1 to 524 of the family's 1533-position model. Lineage: Bacteria; Pseudomonadati; Pseudomonadota; Betaproteobacteria; Burkholderiales; Oxalobacteraceae. The record is from RNAcentral.